AACGAGACCUUAACCUGCUAAAUAGCCCGUAUUGCUUUGGCAGUACGCUGGCUUCUUAGAGGGACUAUCCGCUCAAGCGGAUGGAAGUUUGAGGCAAUAACAGGUUAAGAAAAUUCACAGGCCUGUAAUAGUGAGCCUCUCGAAAUAUUUUGCUAGUUCAGUACUUUUGCCUCUUUUGGGGGAGCCCCCUAUUAUCGGGACGAGGAGCAGGGC
RNAcentral lists this ribosomal RNA (213 nucleotides) under Diatrypaceae sp. Its description in RNAcentral is "partial small subunit ribosomal RNA". The stretch from base 1 to 105 matches the Rfam family "Eukaryotic small subunit ribosomal RNA", at positions 1334 to 1461 of the family's 1831-position model. Lineage: Eukaryota; Fungi; Ascomycota; Sordariomycetes; Xylariales; Diatrypaceae. The record is from RNAcentral.